Molecule: long non-coding RNA, 3920 nt
Organism: Oncorhynchus masou masou (cherry salmon)
Lineage: Eukaryota; Metazoa; Chordata; Actinopteri; Salmoniformes; Salmonidae
Exons: 2
Source: RefSeq, a predicted model, not a curated record
GUCCAAACCUAUAUUCAUUCACUGGGUCCUGAUUGUGACAGUGGAGCCCAGUUUGCACUGCAGGAUCCAGAGAUGACAUCAGUGAAGCUGGAAGACUGCAGUCAAACACUGGAACUGAAUGUCAUCAUUAAAGAUGAAGAAGAAGAGGAAGAGGGGGAGGAGGAAAAGAUUGGGGUAUCUGUUUCUCAUGGAAACCAUGGUGCCACGUUCUCUGCAUCCAGAGAGCAACAGCAGGAAGAUCAUAGCGCUAAGAGAUCUCAUCACUGCCCACAUUGUGAGGAGAUUUUCCCAUUUCUAUCAAAGCUGAAAAUACACCUAAAAAUACACACAGGAGAGAACCUGUAUUCCUGUACUGACUGUGGGAAGAAUUUCACAACAUUAGAGGAUCUGAUCAUUCAUCAGAGAGUGCAUGAACGGAUACACACAGGAGAGAAGCCUGUGUCCUGCUCUGACUGUGGAAAGAGUUUCUCUCUACUGAGCAACUUAAAACGACAUGAACGCAUACAUACAGGAGAGAAGCCUUACGUAUGCUCUGACUGUGUAAAAUGCUUCACAACAUCAACUGAGCUAAAACGUCAUCAGAGAACACACACAGGAGAGAAGCCUUACUCCUGCUCUGACUGUGGAAAGAGUUUCUCUCAACUGAGCAACUUAAAAGCACAUGUACGUAUACAUACAGGAGAGAAUCCUUACUCCUGUUCUGACUGUGGGAAGAGGUUCUCUCUAUUGAGCAACUUAAAAUCACAUGAACGUAUGCAUACAGGAGAGAAGCCUUACGUAUGCUCUGACUGUGUAAAAUGCUUCACAACAUCAACUGAGCUAAAUCGUCAUCAGAGAACACACACAGGAGAGAAGCCUUACUCCUGCUCUGACUGUGGAAAGAGGUUUUCUCGACUAAGCACCUUAAAAAGACACCAAGGUCAACAGAAAGGACCAUUGAUCUGACUGUGGAAAAUGUUUUAAAACAACAGCUGAGCUUAAAGGUCAUUAGAGAGCACACACAGGAGAGAAGUGUUGUCGAAAUUUCCUGUAUUACCAAAUCACGAGAGAGCAAACCACACACAAGUCAGUUGUCAUAAAGUCCAUCUUUAAUUAUAUGAGCGUCACCAUAGCCCUGUGACUCUCAGAUCAAUUCAGUGUCUAUAAAUGAAUUCUCUGAGAGUGCUUACAUAUUGGCAACUGAGAUCCUUUAUAGCAAAGACACACAUAGCCAGACAGCAUUGGCUAUAAAUUAUCGUUCAGUUUGGUCUCCUAAACUAAGUUCUUAUCUUGUUCUUGGUACCACUUAGAACCAAAAACAUUACCUCAUCCAAUGGCAUAUAUCAAAUACACCCCCUCCUAGACAAGAUCAGAAAAUACAGUGAGUCUCUGAGGUCAUAUACUAAAUCAAGAUAAGGGCAACCUCAGAGGGGACAUGUAAAUAGUUAGACACAUUCCCAUAAGAAGACAGGCCUGACCUCUCCCCUCUCUGGGGCCCAAUGUGACUAAGCCCUGGCAGAGAAGGGAUAACUGCAAACAGUAUUAUCCAAAAGAAGACAUUCUAGUGACAAAUAUCUCACAUAAGCAUUAUUAUAUAAAUACAACAUCUUAUCAAUGUUGCCUAACUAAUUCUGAUUCUGCUACUACAGAAGCCUUACAUCUGAUCUGACUGUGCAUCAAGUUUCUCUCUUCUGUGCCACUUAAAAUGACUUGAAUGUGUACACACAGGAGAGAAGCCUUAUCACUGCAUUCAUUGACUGUGAGAAGAGAUUCUACAGAUUGGGCCAUUUAAAACGACACAAUUGUAUACAUAAAGGAGAGGCCUCAUCAGUUCUCUCAGACCAGCUAAGAUUAGUCACUCCACUUAAUUCUCAUCUCAUAAAGUAAUUGGCAACGUUGAAUUGGAUCAAAUGAAGAAAGCGUAGAACACUGUAUUGUAAUCCUAUUGUUUCUCAGUGAGAGAGAACUGUGCAGAGGAGAGGGAGCGUUAUAGUAUGUAUGUUAUCCUCUCUUUACUUUACUGAUCAGUGUGCACCUUGUCAGUUUUGGUGUGUUUUGCUAGCUUCUACUGUAAAGAUAUUAAGGUGGCCUUGGAUUUGGCCUUAGGGUUGAAUAUCCUCUGUGAGGAGUCUCACAAUGGGUGGUACUGCUUCUCUCUGCAGUUUUCCGUGGGAAUGAGCUGGUAGACACAACAUGUACAGAGUGUACAAAACAUGAAGAGACGCCUGCUCUUUCCAUGACAUAGGUGAACCCAGCUGAAAACUAUAAUCCUUAAUGAUGUGGUUUUUAUUAUGAAUUUAUUAUGGAUCCCCAUUAGCUUUCAGCAGAAAACAAGAGACUGCAGUUGGAGUUGGCUGAGAAAUGAAAAGACUGGACACUGGAGAAUUUGAAAAACAUUGCCGGCCUGAUGAAUCCCUGUUCCUGCUGUGUCAUGCUGAUGGGAGGACUAGGGUAUGCAGGAAACCACGAGUACAUCCAUCAUGCCUCGUGUCAUCUUUGCAGGCUGGUGGUGAUGGUGUGGAGUUUGUAUUCAUGCCACACUCUGGGCCCCUUGAUAAAAGUGGAGCAACUUUGAAUGCCACAGGAUUUCUAAACAUCAUUGCCAAUCAGGUGCAUCCCUUCAUGGCAGCAGUUUAUCCAUCUGCAAAUAGAUUUCGUCAGCAGGAUUACGCCACAAGGCUGGUCCAGGAAUGGUUCCAAGAACAUGACAGGGAAUUCAGUUUACUGCAAUGGCCUGACGAGUCACCAGAUCUCAAUCCAAUUGUUCAUCUGUGGCAGGAGAUGAAACAAGCUAUUCGGAGUAGAGAUCCACUCCCAGCUAGACACAAUUGUGGGAAGAAUUGGGCCAGAAUCCCUGUGGAAUGCUCUCAACACCUUGGAUAGUCCAGACAAAUUUAGGCUAAUUCUGAGGACAAAGGGGGGGUGCAACUCAAUAUUAGGAAGGUUUUUUGUACACAGUGUAUAUCAGAUAAAGAUGGUGUAAUGAUCAGUUUUUAGCAUUUGUUUGGGUCGAUUAUUUAAUAUUACUCAACUUUUGUUGAAACAGUCUAUGAAUCUACUUGUGUUUAUUAAAAUUGUCUUUUAAUACUAGAUUUAUUAUUUUAGUCAUUGAUGAUGAAUGUAUUUGAAUAACUGUGUUGAAGUUAAUUGAUCUGGCGGCAGGUAGCUUAGCGGUUAAGAGUGUUGGGCCAGUAACUGAAAGGUUGCUGGUUUGAAUCCCAAGCCGACUAGGUGAAAAGUCUGUCAUUGUGCCCUUGAGCAAGGCAAUUAACCCGUAUUUGUCCUGUAAGUUGCUCUGGAUAAGAGCAUCUGCUAAGUGACAAGAUUGUUGAAGUGAAAUACUGUAUAUACAAUAAACAACAUUACCGCUGUGUUUACCCUGGUCAGAGGGACUGGGACAUGGUAAGCUAGACUAUGUAGCUGCUGUUGUUAGUAGCCUACAGUUUCCAUGCAAUACAGCAUGUCAGAUCGCUAAUGAGGUGUAUAGCUGCUUCAUUUAUGCAAGAGUUUUUGCUUGUGUCUGUCGGGAGAGAUGUGUUGUCAUGCUUGCUAAAUAACUCCUGGAGGGAAGUGGAGAGCGUGCCCCGCACGCCUUACAUGGUCAAGAGACUCAGAGAGCCUGCAGCAGCACCCUGAUGUGAAGAACAGCCCAUACAAAAAUGUACGAUUGUAGUACAAUAAAAAAAUAUAGCAUGGUAUUUUCGUGGAAUGGUAGUGACCAAAAAACAUGUUUUCCAUUGUACGAGGCCCAGGAACAUAGAUGAAACUGCCAGAUGUGUCAUAAUAGCCUGGAAGUAAAGCUGCACUGGGAGACACAUUUGAAAUGGAAUACAUUGUAAACAUUCAGCAGGGUGGAACAAUCACAGUAAAACAUGAUUUAAAUGUAUUGUUGGAAGGGUUGUGGUCACCAUUCAUGUAAUACAUUAAAUAUAUACAUCAGA